RNAcentral lists this ribosomal RNA (406 nucleotides) under uncultured bacterium. RNAcentral describes it as "partial 16S ribosomal RNA". It matches the Rfam family "Bacterial small subunit ribosomal RNA", at positions 30 to 526 of the family's 1533-position model. The record is from RNAcentral.
AUUGAACGCUGGCGGCAGGCCUAACACAUGCAAGUCGAGCGAGCGGCGGACGGGUGAGUAAUGUCUGGGAAACUGCCUGAUGGAGGGGGAUAACUAAUGGAAACGGUAGAUAAUACCGCAUACCAUCAGAUGUGCCCAGAUGGGGUUAGCUAGUAGGUUGGGUAACGGCUCACCUAGGCGACGGGCCCUAGCUGGUCUGGGAGGAUGACCAGGUCCCCUGCACCUGAGCCACGGUCCAGUCCCCUACGGGAGGCAGCAGUGGAGUAUAUUUCACAAUGGGCGCAAGCCUGAUGCGGCCAUGCCGCGUGUGUGAAGCAGGCCUUCGGGUUGUAGUUCUCUUUCGGCGGGAGGGCGUUACCCUCUGAAUAAGCACCGGCUAACUCCGUGCCAGCAGCCGCGGUAAUUC